This 391-nucleotide ribosomal RNA is filed under the name uncultured bacterium. Its description in RNAcentral is "bacterial SSU rRNA". It matches the Rfam family "Bacterial small subunit ribosomal RNA", at positions 505 to 898 of the family's 1533-position model. The record is from RNAcentral.
GUGUCAGCAGCCGCGGUAAUACGGAGGGUGCAAGCGUUGUCCGGAAUCAUUGGGUGUAAAGGGUGCGUAGGCUGGCAUUUAAGUCUGGGGUGAAAUCUUACCGCUUAACGGUAAAAUGGCCUCAGAUACUGAAUGUCUUGAAUCUGACAGAGGUCGGUGGAAUUUGUGGUGUAGCGGUGAAAUGCAUAGAUAUCACGAAGAACAUCAGUGGCGAAGGCGGCCGGCUGGGUCAGUAUUGACGCUGAGGCACGAGAGCGUGGGGAGCGAACAGGAUUAGAUACCCUGGUAGUCCACGCUGUAAACGAUGUAUGCUAGUUGUUGGGCUUUCGGGCUCAGUGACGCAGUUAACGCAGUAAGCAUACCACCUGGGGAGUACGUUCGCAAGAAUGAA